This 1410-nucleotide long non-coding RNA is filed under the name Homo sapiens (human). RNAcentral describes it as "non-protein coding lnc-RNF135-1:5". The record is from RNAcentral. Lineage: Eukaryota; Metazoa; Chordata; Mammalia; Primates; Hominidae.
CCCGCCCGGCCCCAACGGCCCCAACUCCCGUCUCCUCCCAGUCCCCCGGAGCCGACCAGUGGUGGCGGCAGCCCCAGGUCCCGGGUCCCUCAGACAAAAAGGCGGGUGGAGGAGGAGUAGCCGAGCCCAGAGUCCUGCUCCGGCGCCGCCGAGCACCGCCCGCCUCAGCCGACCAGCCCCGUCGGCUACUGGGCCUAGCCUAGAGGAGAGGAGGGAAAGGCCGCGGAGGCCGCGAGGAGACGGCUGGGGCGCCAGCGGCCGGCUGCCGCCUAGUUGUGCUGCCCGGACCAAGGAAGGAGAAGUGGGAGGAGCGGGGAGCUCAGCGGCUCAGGACGACGACGCUCGCCACAUCCGGGACCCUCCGGCCGUGGCGGUCGCAGCGCCGGCAGCUCGGGCCUCAGCCCCUGCCUCUGUGGUGACUCCGCCGCGCUUCGACGUCGCCCCUGUCCCCGUCCCGCCCGCCGCCCCCGCCAACCCCGCCGCCGGGGACAUGUCCAACCCCUGAAGCCGGAGGAACGGGCCAGUCAGACUGCGCCCGACAGGAGGUGAAGUGAAAUCUGCAAGAGUCCUGCUCGUUCAAGGCCUGCAUACAGGAAAGAAGCAGGGGAAAAGCGUUAGAAACAGCUUUUGUUCUACAGCAUUUUAAAAUAUAAUAGGUAUAUUGAAAAGUCUGAUUCAGUUACAAUCAGUGUAUGGAAUCACAAGAAGAUCCAUAAGAAACAAGGUGCUGGAUUUCUCCGUUGUGUUCGUCUUUUUCCAGUGCCAUCAACCACCUCAAAGACACUGGUUAUCAGAGGUUGGAUUUAUGCAAACUUGGGCCAAAGGACAGUUAGAAGACAGUAGCUGAAGAAGCAUCUGUAGGGAAUCCAGAAGGAGCAUUCAUGAAGAUGUUACAAGCCCGGAAGCAGCACAUGAGCACUGAGCUGACUAUUGAGUCGGAGGCGCCCUCAGACAGCAGUGGCAUCAACUUGUCAGGCUUUGGGAGUGAGCAGCUAGACACCAAUGACGAGAGUGAUGUGAUCAGCUUGAAAUUCAGCUAACCGAGCAGCUACGGUCCCUCAUCCCCAACGAGGAUGUGAGAAAGUUCAUGUCUCAUGUUAUCUGGACCUUGAAAAUGGAAUGUUCAGAAACACAUGUGCAAGGGAGCUGUGCCAAGCUCAUGUCGCGAACAGGCCUCCUGAUGAAGCUUCUCAGCGAGCAGCAGGAAGCAAAGGCAUUGAAUGUAGAAUGGGAUACGGACCAACAAAAAACAAAUUAUAUUAAUGAGAACAUGGAACAGAAUGAACAGAAAGAGCAGAAGUCAAGUGAGGUGAGGAGCACACAGAAACAUGAGACCCAGAUUUCCCAUCAUUUAGCAUAUGCCAGGAAAGUGCCCACAUAGGAGAACCUGGGACUCCCAGGCCAUAGCUU